AGUGUAUGUGAGCAUGUGAGGGAGAGGGAGAGUGUCUGAGUGUGUGAGCAUGUGAGUGAGAGUGUGUGUGUGUAUGUGUGUGUGUGUGUGUGCGCGCAUGUGAGUGAGAGAGAGAAAGUGUGUGUGUGUGUGUGUGUUUGAGUGUAUGUGAGCAUGUGAGGGAGAGUGUGUGUGUGUGUGUGUGUGUGUGUGUUUGUGUGUGAGCAUGUGAGUGAAAGUGUCUGUGUGUGAGUGUGUAUUUGAAGUCACCUUUUGUAUUAACUCAAUCAAAUGCUUAGGGAUAUACAGUAAUAUAUCAGGCAGAACUCCAGGCACCACAUAGCAAUAAUGUGACCUUGAAAAUGCAUUGAAGGUCAACAGUUGUAUAGAGUUACAUCAUGAAAGAGAUACAUACGCCUCUGAGAAGGUUUUUCAUCUUAUUUAACAAGGUUUCAUUUUUGAGAAACUGGUAGUUGCUGACAUGUUUUAGGACAGUCGAGUCAAAAUGAAUCUGACUUCACAUUUAUAUUUUAUAUUAUAUUUUAUUAUAUUAUAUAUACUUAGUGUUUCGUGGGAGAAAUGAACCGACUAUCUGGAAAGUCUAGGGGUCAGGUGAGCAGUCUGCAGGUGAGCAGUCUGAUAACACACAAAUGCGUCUUUAAUUCUUUUACACGCUCUUACAGCUUUUUUUUGUUGUUGCAUUGUUUUGCAUGCACAUUCUACCCUCCACAUUAAGGACUGACUGAACUCCCCUUUAAUACUCAAGCGGUCACAAUGACAGUCCCAACGCCAGAUGAGUUAGUGUCAGUCAGGUGACAGGGCGGACAGAACGGUCAGGUGACAGGGCGGUGGACUCACUCAUUUGGAACAUGCGCGGUGCAGCCGCUCGAUUGACAGCAAGGCGAGGACGGCCUCCAUUAACUCAGGGCCU
Long non-coding RNA from Anguilla rostrata (American eel), 910 nucleotides. RefSeq lists it as uncharacterized. The record is from RefSeq and is a predicted model, not a curated record. NCBI's taxonomy places the organism in Eukaryota, Metazoa, Chordata, Actinopteri, Anguilliformes, Anguillidae. The transcript is spliced from 3 exons.